AAUGAACGCUGGCGGCGCGCCUAAUACAUGCAAGUCGAGCGAGAAGACGUAGCAAUACGUUUGUAAAGCGGCGAACGGGUGAGGAAUACAUGGGUAACCUACCCUAGAGUGGGGAAGUAACUAGCCGAAAGGUUAAGCUAAUACCGCGUACGCUCCUUGGACUUCGGUUCAGGGAGGAAAGCGAUGCCGAGGGUAUCGCGCUCUUGGAUGGGCUCAUGUCCUAUCAGCUUGUUGGUGAGGUAACGGCUCACCAAGGCUUCGACGGGUAGCUGGUCUGAGAGGACGAUCAGCCACACUGGGACUGAGACACGGCCCAGACUCCUACGGGAGGCAGCAGUGGGGAAGUCUUGCGCAAUGGGCGAAAGCCUGACGCAGCGACGCCGCGUGAGGGAUGACGGCC
RNAcentral lists this ribosomal RNA (400 nucleotides) under uncultured bacterium. RNAcentral describes it as "bacterial SSU rRNA". It matches the Rfam family "Bacterial small subunit ribosomal RNA", at positions 29 to 416 of the family's 1533-position model. The record is from RNAcentral.